This 253-nucleotide ribosomal RNA is filed under the name uncultured bacterium. RNAcentral describes it as "partial 16S ribosomal RNA". It matches the Rfam family "Bacterial small subunit ribosomal RNA", at positions 524 to 776 of the family's 1533-position model. The record is from RNAcentral.
UACGUAGGGUGCAGGCGUUAAUCGGAAUUACUGGGCGUAAAGCGUGCGCAGGCGGUCUAUUAAGACAGGUGUGAAAUCCCCGGGCUUAACCUGGGAACUGCGCUUGUAACUGAUAGGCUUGAGUGUGGCAGAGGGGGGUGGAAUUCCAGGUGUAGCAGUGAAAUGCGUAGAUAUCUGGAGGAACACCGAUGGCGAAGGCAGCCCCCUGGGCUAACACUGACGCUCAUGCACGAAAGCGUGGGGAGCAAACAGG